Molecule: long non-coding RNA, 1405 nt
Organism: Magallana angulata
Lineage: Eukaryota; Metazoa; Mollusca; Bivalvia; Ostreida; Ostreidae
Exons: 3
Source: RefSeq, a predicted model, not a curated record
AAGAAAUCCGUGAUGGCCAUGAUGGCGGGGAAGCUGAACAAUGUUGUCAUCGAAUAUAGAACUAUUAUAUUGAAUCGAAAAAUGAUCUAAGCUGUGGCCUUAAAGGAGUAGUCUCCUUUGAUAAAGAUCAACAGUGACAAAUAAACAAUGCUGUCUUGUCAUCAACGGUGAAAUUUGAGACUUUUAUACCCAUAUAUCUACCAAUCACCUCUGUCCACUUUGUUUUGUACAUCUGAGACAGGUGUACACGAGAUGCCAGUAUUCACUCCUUUCCACGGACACCUGUUAGGUAACUCAUCACAAUCUAUCGUAUGUAGAGUCUGAAUAUAUCUUCUACUUUGUUAGUUUCAUCGCUUUUCUUAAUCUCUAAAAAUCAAAAGAACUGUCUGUAGAUAUGUACACAAACAACUACACGUAAGACUAACGGGUCGUGGAUCCGUAGAACAAUUCAGCGACUCUAUACAUGCGGGAUUUUCACAAUUAUUAAAUUGCGAUAAAAAUAUCAUUUACCGGGUACGUUAAUGUACCAAAAAAAAGAAUAAUUACAUUGUAAAUAGUUGAAUGGAAUUUUGCAAGUGGAUGUAAGCACAAAAACAGCUCUUUGGAGAUUUAUUUUCAAUCUAAUAUGUGUGAUGUAAAAAAAACUAUAUUAUUUUGCUAUAAGUUUGUAUAAUUGGUCAUUUGAGGGGGAUUUUAUCAUAGGAUCGCCGGUCAAUCAGUUUAAGUAUAACAGUACAGAUCACCCAUGUGCCGUGUGCUACUUGGCUCCUCCUAUAUGGGUAGAAAAAAUAAUCGAAUGAAAACGUUCUUGUUUUUUGUUUUCUUAAAUAUCUAUGAAAAAGAGUGUUCCUAUUUGAAAUUAUUCAACAAUAACUUCCUUCCAACUUCAUGAUUACCUUACUCAUGUACUGGUGAUCAGAGUCUUUUUCCCUCGCUGUCGUAUUAAUUUUGUUACUAGAUAUAUUCUUAAUAUAUUUAACACUUUUAACAUUCAUUUGUUGAUUACCGGGUAUAUUUUUCUGUGUCCUGUUUACAACUAGUAUGUGUGUUAAAAGGUAAAUAAAAUAUAAACAGGUUAGUCAGCAUUUGUAAAACGUCAGCUAAUUAAAUCGCAUGCAUACAGUGAAGAGCGGACACUUGUUCAACAGAAAUAUAUAUAAUAUAAUAUAUGUAAGAUAUAAAUAUCGCCAUUAAAUGCUAUUGACUUGUGUAUAUCCAGUUGCGUACAUAUCGUAAGAAAUAUGUUACAUGUACAUGUAUAGUUUAACGGAAAAACAAAUAGUCAUAUUUUGAUUAUACACGCCAUCUUAGUUCAGAUAAGAAAAGCGAUGAUAGGUUAAUUGAAGGUAUGAUCUGUGUAUACGAACAAGACUUAGUGCAGAAAAUCAUAGAGUCAAUAUUUGAA